GGAGGGGUCGCAUAGUGGCCGAGUGCGGGCGCCUGCUAAGCGCUUACUGGCGGUAACGUCAGUCGAGGGUUCGAAUCCCUCCCCCUCCGCCA
This 92-nucleotide transfer RNA is filed under the name bacterium. RNAcentral describes it as "tRNA-Ser". It matches the Rfam family "tRNA". From Rfam's summary of the family: Transfer RNA (tRNA) molecules are approximately 80 nucleotides in length. Their secondary structure includes four short double-helical elements and three loops (D, anti-codon, and T loops). The record is from RNAcentral. RNAcentral also lists the same sequence under 4 other names.